AUGAGGAGCGAACAGUACCUGGACGUGGACGCCGCCGGCCGCAUCAUCGCCUUGUUGCCCAGAAGAAGCGACCGUCGACGCUGCCGCUGCCUCCAUCUCUAUCACGUCGCCGUCGGCGAUGGCCACGGCCCUCCCAUUCCCGUCCUGCUGCUGCCCUCGGUCCCUUCCGAUGCUUCCCCUCUCUUCCAUUUCUCUUCUCGUCUUCUGGGAUGCACUCCGUGUGCUAACAUAGGCUUGACUUUGACUUUUCUCAUCGAGGCUGGCUUUGUAUCCAUUCCAAUCCCAGAUGCAAGCUGCACUCAAGGAAACAUCAAUAUGGUUGAUGGAGUUUGGGUGGGAUGGAUUUUGGAGGGUGUUUUUAGGUUUGGUGCUGCUGUCAGUGUGCCAAAGACAGCUGAUUUCAUGGAUUGGUUGAUCAUGAAAAUUGAUCCUGAAAGGAGCAUGUUCAGUCAUAAAUUGAAGACUAUACAUUUUACAAGAGACAUGGUGCCCAAAAAUUUUAACAUCCCAUGCGGGAGCAGGCCAGUGGAGGUGCUGAAGAGGAACGAGCCACACGAGCUGCGCAACAUUUACCGAUCUGGGAGCAGGGCUCCAAUCAACCGUUGCAUCAAUGUGCUUUGUGAGGCGAGCAACAACGAUGUUGUUACCAUUCAGAGGUCUUGGGUUUUACUUUCACUUGGUCUUGUGCUAACCCCUGGCACUGAGAAUGUGAUACCGAUAGAGUACCUUCCUAGCUUGAUGGAUAUCGAUAAGUUGAAUGAGUUUGCUUGGGAUGAGCAUGUAUUGGGUGUUGCUAUGAGAGAGGUGAAGAAGUACCAACAAAAGAGGAAGUCUGGACUAGGUGGGUUCUGGAUUGGAGGGUGUCUACCAAUGUUUGCGGUAAUAUACAUGGACUUCUUGGACAUUCCUAGGACUCUGGCUGGUGUGCACACAUUCAACUGGACUCUUCCUAGGGCGUGCUUUGUCAGCACUGAUGACUUCAAAAUCGUUGCAGAACUUGAUAGAAACAAGCUUUCCCUCCACAAGGUUGAAUUUGGGAAACGCAAUCUUCACCUUUUGUCAAACACCCCAUAUGCAACAAAGGGAUCCCACAUCAAUGUUGAUUGUCAGAAGCAACCGCAUGGGUCAGCAGCUCCUCCCCCCGAUGCAACAAGAGCACACAACACGGACGAUAAUGACUUAGGCGGCGAUGACCUCAUUGUGUUUUAUGCUUUGGAGCAGAUCCCGGAGCAUAUGCAACAAAUAUAUGAGAAGCACAAGAAUCUGCAUGAAGUGGAGUUGAAGAGCACUCUGAAUUCUGUUGGGAAGUCAAGGAGGAAGGAGGAUAAGGGCGGAGGAGAUGUAACAUUCGUUGCAGGUGGAAGCAACGCAGCAUCCGCGCCUAAUACCAGCGCCUCAGCUCAACAACCUGAAGUGGAAAGGCAAGUGUCAGCUGGCCCCAGGACUCCUAGCUUCGAAGGUGCUGGUGAUACCGUGUUGAAACAAGGGCAGAGUUGCGCUCAAGUCGGCAAGGGGCCUUUAGACUUGGGAAAGGAGGUUGAACAGGAGGUUUCACAGCAGGAUGUUUCAAUAGAGGUCGAUGCAGAAGCAAGUCCACGUGUCAACCAUGGCAAGGAUGCUGAGGGCGUUGCUGCCAAUGAUGGCACGAUUAUCCUAUCACAGGGCACACUGAAAGCAAUGGAAGCCGCUGCAAUGGAAUGGGAUGAUGGCCCAUCGUGUGACCUUUUUCCAGUUGGGAGCGAAGACUACGAGUGGUUUCACCAGGAAGUGCCACCUAAAUCUUCAAAGAUCCCAUAUGUAGUUGCCACUCCCUCUGCUGCGAUGCACUCGGAUUCAGCGGGGCCUACAUUUGACAAAACGCCAGAGGCAGCUAGGGCUAAUGUGAAUAAGAUUGCACAUCCAAUUGCAACAGACAUCUCUUCUUCUCUUUUUGACAGCGAUCCAAAAGUUUCCACCUCAAAUGAGAUCAACAAGCCUAUCUUUGAUGCAUCUCCUGUUGUCACCACAGCAACUGUUGGGUCUUUAGGUAAUUCAACUAUCUCUGGAUUUGGAACACCAAAUGUUGAUUCCAGCAGUGGGCCAAGUUGUGCUUCGAAGAAGGCUGUCAAGAAGAAGAAAGGGGCUGCCCAGUCACCUGAUGGGGUUCUGAAGAUGAAGAAGAUCAAGAUUGAUGCAACCGGGGACUCUUUACAUCAGCAGUAUGUUAUGAACAGAUACAAGUUAAGGAAACCAAAGGAAGGCGAAUCUCUCCUUGCUUUCAUUGAAAUAGAUGGCUUCCACACCUCCCUUCAGAAUUUCCAUGCCUCGCUAAAGCCACGAGCCGAGAUUGACAAUGAGGUCAUGACUCUCUACCUCAAAACUUUCAACAUAGAGCAAAUUUGCAGCAGGAAGAAGCUGAAGAAGUUUGCAUUCUCAGUUUUUAUGAGUGGUCAACUGGCUGCUGAGCCUGAAGUUUUUGAUCCUAAACUGUGUGAAAGGGAGUUUAGGAUGGCCUAUGAGAGCAGCAACAUAUCAAGUUGCGAUCUACUUUUCUUUAUAGUUGUCCAGAAGAGGCACUGGGCUGUAGUUGUUGCAAACUUGGCAAUGAAGCAAUUCAACAUUUUCAACCCAAUAAAGAACAACAAAGAUGUGCAACUGCUACACAAGGCAACCAGCAAUAUGAUCACGAACCUAAACAGAGUGGCAAGGAGUGAACCAGCAUUCAAACAUGAUCUCGAUUUGUUUGAGGAGUUUAAUCCACAGCAAGGAACUUACUAUGAUUGCAGAUUUUUUGCUAUUCUGUACUUGGAGAACUUCGAUGGUGUGGUCAUGGCAUCAUUUGAUCAGGAAUACAUUCCAAAGCUGCGGAUGAGGAUUGCAUCAGAUCUGUUGAGGCACCCUGACAACAAGUUGGACCCUGCGGAGCAGCUGAAGAAGAUGCUGCAUCAAAAGGGUGGUCGUUCUUGA
RNAcentral lists this ribosomal RNA (2946 nucleotides) under Triticum aestivum (bread wheat). Its description in RNAcentral is "partial small subunit ribosomal RNA". Lineage: Eukaryota; Viridiplantae; Streptophyta; Magnoliopsida; Poales; Poaceae. The record is from RNAcentral.